AUUGAACGCUGGCGGCAUGCUUUACACAUGCAAGUCGAACGGCAGCGCGGGCUUCGGCCUGGCGGCGAGUGGCGAACGGGUGAGUAAUGCAUCGGAACGUGCCCAGUAGUGGGGGAUAGCCCGGCGAAAGACGGGUUAAUACCGCAUACGACCUGAGGGUGAAAGCGGGGAACCGACAGGCCUCGCGCUAGUGGAGCGGCCGAUGUCGGAUUAGCGAGUUGGUGGGGUAAAGGCUUACCAAGGCGACGAUCCGUAGCUGGUCUGAGAGGACGACCAGCCACACUGGCACUGAGACACGGCCCAGACUCCUACGGGAGGCAGCAGUGGGGAAUUUUGGACAAUGGGGGCAACCCUGAUCCAGCCAUGCCGCGUGCGGGAAGAAGGCCUUCGGGUUGUAAACCGCUUUUGUUCGGGAAGAAAUCCUCUGGGCUAAUACCCCGGGGGGAUGACGGUACCGGAAGAAUAAGCACCGGCUAACUACGUG
Molecule: ribosomal RNA, 484 nt
Filed under: uncultured bacterium
Lineage: Bacteria
Description: partial 16S ribosomal RNA
Rfam family: Bacterial small subunit ribosomal RNA
Source: RNAcentral